RNAcentral lists this long non-coding RNA (1980 nucleotides) under Homo sapiens (human). Its description in RNAcentral is "non-protein coding ILF3-DT:21". The record is from RNAcentral. Lineage: Eukaryota; Metazoa; Chordata; Mammalia; Primates; Hominidae.
GGAAAUGGCUCCGAGAGGCUUUGACGCAUGUGUACCUUUUUAGUGGCGGUAUCUCGGCCGGGGAUUUUCGGGCUCCAGUGGAGGUGGCUAUGCUCACCCCAUCUCCCUUGAGAGGCACAGAAGGUUAGAGAUGUGUGCGAGGAACGGCCAGGUCCAGCGUCUCCUCGUUGCUGCCCCUUGAGCCCGGGACCGGCGCCAAUGCGCGCCCGGGUUCUUGGGUUCUUUCGUCCCGCAGACCUGCCUUGGUGUGGCGUCCCUGGGCCGUAGCUUCCGAAGGCUGCAGCCGACCUGGUCGGGGUCCUCUAGCCCGCCUUCCCCUUCCCCCAUUGACAGAUGGAGAAACUGAGGCCCAGGCCAAAAAAUAUCUCACUAGAGGGCUCACCGCCAUUUCCUGGAAAAAUUGGGGCUGGGACUCAACGGACGCUCGUCCAGCAGCAGCGCGGAGCUCCGAAGUAAAGGCGCCCGUGACCGAGUGCUUUGUCCUUACAAGCGUGGUGUUCUUGAAUGCUUCCAGGCGCCUUAUGAGGCCCCCGAUGUACAAUCUGUGCUUAACUAAACCCCACUGUCUUCCAGGGUCAGGUUGGCCAUCCGCAGGCGUAGUUGCUAGGAAGGUUUGACAGAUGUCCGCCUGUUGAUUCAGACGUUCCCAGGAUUUGGAGCAAGAAGAGCAAGGAAGGCCAGGCGCGGUGGCUCACGUUUGUAAUCCCAGCACUUUGGGAGGCCGAGGCGGGCGGAUCACGAGGUCAGGAGUUCGAGACCAGCCUGGCCAGCAUGGUGAAACCCCGUCUCUACUAAAAAUACAAAAGAAAAUUAGCCGGGUGUGGUGGCACAUGCCUGUAGUCCCACCUACUUGGGAGGCUGAGGCAGGAGAAUUGUUUGACCUGGCAGGCGGAGGUUGCAGUGAGCCGAGAUUGCGCCACUGCACUCCAGUCUGGGCGACAGAGCGAGACUCUGUCUCAGAAAAAAAAAAGAGCAAGGAGGUGUUGAAAAUGGGUUUCCUGGCUGGGCGUGGUGGCUCACGCUUGUAAUCCCAGCACUUUGGGAAGCUGAGGUGGGCGGAUCACUUGAGGUCAGGAGUUUGAGACCAGCCUGGCCAACAUGGUGAAACACCGUCUCCACUAAAAAUAGAAAAAUUAACUGGGUGUGGUGGAGGGCGCCUGUAAUCCCAGCUAAUCAGGAAGCUGAGACAGGAGGAUCGCUUGAACCCAGGAGGCGGAGGUUGCAGUGAGCCGAGAUUGCUCCAUUGCACUCCAGCCUGGGCGAUAGAGUGAGACUCAGCCUCAAAAAAAAAAAAAAAAAAAAAUUCGCCAGGUGUGGUGGUGUGCGCCUAUAAUCCCAGCUACUCAGGAGGCAGAGGCACAAGAAUGGCUUGAAUCACUUGAACCUGGGAGGCAGAGGUUACAAUGAGCCGAGAUGGCACCACUGCACUCCAGCCUGGGCGACAGAGCGAGACUCCGACUUCCCAUCUUAAAAAAAAAAAAAAAAAAAAAAAAGAAGUGUAAAGAUGUGAUUAUGUGGCAGGGGGUAAGGGUUAAAAAGAAAACAAGAACAAGUUUUCCUCUGCUUAGCCAGCUUACUUCAAGGACAGUUAUAACACUGAAAAGUCGAGGCCAAAGGAAUGGGCUCCAGACAGCCUCCUCCGGAGCAAAGUUGAAAAGAAAAAUUCCUUUACUGUCUCUCCUUUUCUGAACCAUUAAAUAUGACUGUUUGCCAAUGGUUGUAUUUAGUAAGAUUUGUAGACUCUGUUUUUCUUUUGACACAGCUGCAAGGCCAACAGCUGUGCAAAGCCACAAGUUAUGCUAAGUCAGCAGUUAUGCUAUAGAUUACAUGACCUGUGACUGUAUCAUUAACUGCUUUUGUUUUGCUUCUGUAAGUUUGCCUAUAAAAACCACACUCAGUCUUUGUUCAAUGGUCAGCUUUUCAGAUACAAAUCCACUGAGCCGGUGUACAUCUAAAUAAAUCCUCCUGUUUCCCGUGUCA